RNAcentral lists this ribosomal RNA (249 nucleotides) under Clostridioides difficile. RNAcentral's name for it is "partial 16S ribosomal RNA". It matches the Rfam family "Bacterial small subunit ribosomal RNA", at positions 659 to 908 of the family's 1533-position model. The record is from RNAcentral. Lineage: Bacteria; Bacillati; Bacillota; Clostridia; Peptostreptococcales; Peptostreptococcaceae.
GAGUGGAAUUCCUAGUGUAGCGGUGAAAUGCGUAGAUAUUAGGAGGAACACCAGUUGCGAAGGCGGCUCUCUGGACUGUAACUGACGCUGAGGCACGAAAGCGUGGGGAGCAAACAGGACUAGAUACCCUGGUAGUCCACGCUGUAAACGAUGCGUAAUAGGUGUCGGGGGUUACACCCCUCGGUGCCGAAGCUAACGCAUUAAGUACUCCGUCUGGGAGGUAAGCUCGCACGAGUGAAAUCCACAGGA